AUGUCCAUAAACCUGGAAAAUGUGAAGGACACCUCCUCGGUGACUCAUUUAGGAACCGUCAGAAUGUUUUUUCCCUUUUGCUUUUUUGCAACCGUCAGUAUGGUUGCCAAGACUGACCCAUAUCAGAUUUUGCAGCAUAGUCUCGAACCAGUUUGGCAAGUGGGCCAAAAGUAUAUUCACAACUUUAUGUUCAUAACUGAAGUGAUCUUGGCUUCUUUCAUUUUGACAUGCAUCUCUUAUAAGUUGCAACACAUAAUGUCAUCGUUUCAUCCCAUUUAUCAUACUUCAGCACAUUAUCCUGAUGGAUUAGUACUGGUCCUGUAUUGA
RNAcentral lists this ribosomal RNA (327 nucleotides) under Triticum aestivum (bread wheat). Its description in RNAcentral is "partial small subunit ribosomal RNA". The record is from RNAcentral. Lineage: Eukaryota; Viridiplantae; Streptophyta; Magnoliopsida; Poales; Poaceae.